UAGGGAAUCUUCGGCAAUGGGGGGAACCCUGACCGAGCAACGCCGCGUGAGUGAAGAAGGUUUUCGGAUCGUAAAGCUCUGUUGUUAAGGAAGAACGAGUGUGAGAAUGGAAAGUUCAUGCUGUGACGGUACUUAACCAGAAAGGGACGGCUAACUACGUGCCAGCAGCCGCGGUAAUACGUAGGUCCCGAGCGUUGUCCGGAUUUAUUGGGCGUAAAGCGAGCGCAGGCGGUUAGAUAAGUCUGAAGUUAAAGGCAGUGGCUCAACCAUUGUAGGCUUUGGUAACUGUUUAACUUGAGUGCAGAAGGGGAGAGUGGAAUUCCAUGUGUAGCGGUGAAAUGCGUAGAUAUAUGGAGGAACACCGGUGGCGAAAGCGGCUCUCUGGUCUGUAACUGACGCUGAGGCUCGAAAGCGUGGGGAGCGAACAGG
Molecule: ribosomal RNA, 429 nt
Filed under: Bacteroidota bacterium
Lineage: Bacteria; Pseudomonadati; Bacteroidota
Description: Bacteroidetes bacterium partial 16S ribosomal RNA
Rfam family: Bacterial small subunit ribosomal RNA
Source: RNAcentral